UACGUAGGGGGCUAGCGUUGUCCGGAUUUAUUGGGCGUAAAGAGCUCGUAGGUGGUUCGGUUAGUCGGAUGUGAAAUCUCCAGGCUCAACCUGGAGGGGUCAUUCGAUACUGCCGUGACUAGAGUUCGGUAGAGGAGUGUGGAAUUCCUGGUGGAGCGGUGAAAUGCGCAGAGAUCAGGAGGAACACCGGUGGCGAAGGCGGGUCUCUGGGCCGAUACUGACGCUGAGGAGCGAAAGCGUGGGGAGCGAACAGG
Molecule: ribosomal RNA, 254 nt
Filed under: uncultured bacterium
Lineage: Bacteria
Description: partial 16S ribosomal RNA
Rfam family: Bacterial small subunit ribosomal RNA
Source: RNAcentral